GACGAACGCUGGCGGCGUGCUUAACACAUGCAAGUCGAACGGAAAGGCCCUGCUUUUGUGGGGUGCUCGAGUGGCGAACGGGUGAGUAACACGUGAGUAACCUGCCCUUGACUUUGGGAUAACUUCAGGAAACUGGGGCUAAUACCGGAUAGGAGCUCUUGCUGCAUGGUGGGGGUUGGAAAGUUUCGGCGGUUGGGGAUGGACUCGCGGCUUAUCAGCUUGUUGGUGGGGUAGUGGCUUACCAAGGCUUUGACGGGUAGCCGGCCUGAGAGGGUGACCGGCCACGUUGGAACUGAGAUACGGCCCAGACUCCUACGGGAGGCAGCAGUGGGGAAUAUUGCACAAUGGGCGGAAGCCUGAUGCAGCAACGCCGCGUGCGGGAUGACGGCCUUCGGGUUGUAAACCGCUUUCGCCUGUGACGAAGCGUGAGUGAGGGUAAUGGGUAAAGAAGCACCGGCUAACUACGUG
RNAcentral lists this ribosomal RNA (468 nucleotides) under uncultured bacterium. RNAcentral's name for it is "partial 16S ribosomal RNA". It matches the Rfam family "Bacterial small subunit ribosomal RNA", at positions 28 to 507 of the family's 1533-position model. The record is from RNAcentral.